CUGGCUCAGAUUGAACGCUGGCGGCAUGCCUUACACAUGCAAGUCGAACGGCAGCAUAGGAGCUUGCUCCUGAUGGCGAGUGGCGAACGGGUGAGUAAUAUAUCGGAACGUGCCCUAGAGUGGGGGAUAACUAGUCGAAAGACUAGCUAAUACCGCAUACGAUCUACGGAUGAAAGUGGGGGAUCGCAAGACCUCAUGCUCCUGGAGCGGCCGAUAUCUGAUUAGCUAGUUGGUGGGGUAAAAGCCUACCAAGGCGACGAUCAGUAGCUGGUCUGAGAGGACGACCAGCCACACUGGGACUGAGACACGGCCCAGACUCCUACGGGAGGCAGCAGUGGGGAAUUUUGGACAAUGGGGGCAACCCUGAUCCAGCAAUGCCGCGUGAGUGAAGAAGGCCUUCGGGAUUUGGAGCUCUUUUGUCAGGGAAGAAACGGUAGUAGCUAAUAUCUAUUACUAAUGAC
This 461-nucleotide ribosomal RNA is filed under the name Herbaspirillum sp. VV51. RNAcentral's name for it is "bacterial SSU rRNA". It matches the Rfam family "Bacterial small subunit ribosomal RNA", at positions 19 to 473 of the family's 1533-position model. Lineage: Bacteria; Pseudomonadati; Pseudomonadota; Betaproteobacteria; Burkholderiales; Oxalobacteraceae. The record is from RNAcentral.